GUGAACAUACCUACAACUGUUGCUUCGGCGGGUAGGCCGUCCCCUGAAAAGGACGCCUCCCGGCCCGGAACGGACCCCCUCGCGGGGCCCGGACCCGGCGCCCGCCGGAGGAUAACCAAACUCUAUUUUAACGACGUUUCUUCUGAGUGGCAUAAGCAAAAUAAUCAAAACUUUUAACAACGGAUCUCUUGGUUCUGGCAUCGAUGAAGAACGCAGCGAAAUGCGAUAAGUAAUGUGAAUUGCAGAAUUCAGUGAAUCAUCGAAUCUUUGAACGCACAUUGCGCCCGCCAGCAUUCUGGCGGGCAUGCCUGUUCGAGCGUCAUUUCAACCCUCAAGCUCUGCUUGGUGUUGGGGCCCCACGGUCGACGUGGGCCCUCAAAGGUAGUGGCGGACCCUCCCGGAGCCUCCUUUGCGUAGUAACAUUUCGUCACGCACUGGGAUCCGGAGGGACUCUUGCCGUAAAACCCCCCAAUUUUUCAAGGUUGACCUCG
RNAcentral lists this ribosomal RNA (491 nucleotides) under Colletotrichum sp. FLS-2010. RNAcentral's name for it is "eukaryotic LSU rRNA". The stretch from base 169 to 322 matches the Rfam family "5.8S ribosomal RNA". The record is from RNAcentral. Lineage: Eukaryota; Fungi; Ascomycota; Sordariomycetes; Glomerellales; Glomerellaceae.